Molecule: ribosomal RNA, 497 nt
Filed under: uncultured bacterium
Lineage: Bacteria
Description: partial 16S ribosomal RNA
Rfam family: Bacterial small subunit ribosomal RNA
Source: RNAcentral
GAUGAACGCUGGCGGCGUGCCUAAUACAUGCCAGUCGAGCGAACGGACGAGAAGCUUGCUUCUCUGAUGUUAGCGGCGGACGGGUGAGUAACACGUGGAUAACCUACCUAUAAGACUGGGAUAACUUCGGGAAACCGGAGCUAAUACCGGAUAAUAUUUUGAACCGCAUGGUUCAAAAGUGAAAGACGGUCUUGCUGUCACUUAUAGAUGGAUCCGCGCUGCAUUAGCUAGUUGGUAAGGUAACGGCUUACCAAGACAACGAUGCAUAGCCGACCUGAGAGGGUGAGCGGCCACACUGGAACUGAGACACGGUCCAGACUCCUACGGGAGGCAGCAGUAGGGAAUCUUCCGCAAUGGGCGAAAGCCUGACGGAGCAACGCCGCGUGAGUGAUGAAGGUCUUCGGAUCGUAAAACUCUGUUAUUAGGGAAGAACAUAUGUGUAAGUAACUGUGCACAUCUUGACGGUACCUAAUCAGAAAGCCACGGCUAACUACGUG